GUGGGAGGGGGCUUGCCCCCGAUGGCGGUGGGUCAGCCAGCCAUUUUUCAACUGACACACCGCUAUCGGGGGCAAGCCCCCUCCCAC
This 87-nucleotide unclassified non-coding RNA is filed under the name Pseudomonas orientalis. The record is from RNAcentral. Lineage: Bacteria; Pseudomonadati; Pseudomonadota; Gammaproteobacteria; Pseudomonadales; Pseudomonadaceae.